This 433-nucleotide ribosomal RNA is filed under the name uncultured bacterium. RNAcentral's name for it is "partial 16S ribosomal RNA". It matches the Rfam family "Bacterial small subunit ribosomal RNA", at positions 29 to 507 of the family's 1533-position model. The record is from RNAcentral.
AACGAACGCUGGCGGCAGGCCUAACACAUGCAAGUCGAGCGAGGACUUCGGUCCUAGCGGCGGACGUGGGGGGAACGCGGGGGAACGUGCCCUUUGCUUCGGAAUAGCCCUGGGAAACUGGGCGUAAUACCGGAUGAGCCCAUUGGGGGAAAGAUUUAUCGGCGCAGGAUCGGCGCGCGUUAGAUUAGGUAGUUGGUGGGGUACUGGCCGACCAAGCGGAGGAUCCAUAGCUGGUUUGAGAGGAUGACCAUGCACACUGGGACUGCGACACGGCCCAGAACCCUACGCGAGGCAGGAGAGUGGAAUCUUAGACAAGGGGGGAAGCUGUAACAUAGCCAUGCCGGGUGAGCGAGGAAGGCCUUAGUGUUGUAAAGCUCUUUGAGCUGGGAAGAUAAUGACGGUACCAGCAGAAGAAGCCCCGGCUAACUCCGUG